This is a long non-coding RNA of Fukomys damarensis (Damara mole-rat), 560 nucleotides long. RefSeq lists it as uncharacterized. The transcript is spliced from 5 exons. Lineage: Eukaryota; Metazoa; Chordata; Mammalia; Rodentia; Bathyergidae. The record is from RefSeq and is a predicted model, not a curated record.
GUGCUGUAUGGAGUCCACCGGGGGCGCUAGCGAGUCACGAGCCACGACUGUGACCUGCGUGGUUUUUGCGCCACUGCUGCAGUGUGAGUGCGGACAGGUGAUGCGAAGCCAUCAGAUCUGACUGUGACUUCAAUCCCAGUUGAACUUGACCGUGGCUCUAUGCUCGUAUUGCUGGGUGAUGUGAGCUGAGUCAUACAAACCCUGAAUGUGCCAGAAGAGUUUUGCUUUGUUUUGCACAACAGGAGAGGAACUCAAAAUGGUGAACCUGCAGUUUGUGUCAGCGAUGUGCUGCCCUCUUCUCCUCCUGCAACUUGGAUGGAACUGGAAGACAGGACGCUGCGUGGAGUAAACUGGGCCCGUGGGACGGAUACCUCGGGUUCUCACCCCAGGUCCAGACUUACAGAAUUCACUUUUAAGAUGGGAGCAUAAAGACAGGCAAGCCAUCCUUGAAGUUUGGCGAUCAUCGACAGACAGGCACCGAGAUAAUUAUUUACAGGAUACAAAAGAAAAGGUGAAGAGCCAGGGAUGUAGCUCAGUGGUGCCGCUGCCUAUCUCACAAG